This 1008-nucleotide ribosomal RNA is filed under the name uncultured delta proteobacterium. RNAcentral describes it as "bacterial SSU rRNA". It matches the Rfam family "Bacterial small subunit ribosomal RNA", at positions 496 to 1501 of the family's 1533-position model. The record is from RNAcentral. Lineage: Bacteria; Deltaproteobacteria.
GCUAACUUCGUGCCAGCAGCCGCGGUAAUACGAAGGGUGCAAGCGUUGCUCGGAAUUAUUGGGCGUAAAGGGUUGGUAGGUGGUCUUGUUUGUCUAAGGUGAAAUCCCAUGGCUUAACUGUGGAAGUGCCCUAGAAACGGCAAGACUAGAGUCCUAGAGGGGUUUGUGGAAUUCCCGGUGUAGCGGUGAAAUGCGUAGAGAUCGGGAGGAACACCAGCGGCGAAGGCGGCAAACUGGAUAGGUACUGACACUCAACAACGAAAGCGUGGGGAUCAAACAGGAUUAGAUACCCUGGUAGUCCACGCUGUAAACGAUGGGUACUAGGCUUUGUGGGAAUAGACCCCUGCAGAGCCGGAGCUAACGCAAUAAGUACCCCGCCUGGGAAGUACGGUCGCAAGACUAAAACUCAAAGGAAUUGACGGGGGCCCGCACAAGCGGUGGAUCAUGUGGUUUAAUUCGAAGCAACGCGCAAAACCUUACCUGGGUUUGACAUCCUCGGACAAACGUAGAAAUACGUCUUUUGUAGCAAUACAACCGAGAGACAGGUGCUGCAUGGCUGUCGUCAGCUCGUGUGGUGACAUGUUGGGUUAAGUCCCGCAACGAGCGCAACCCUUGCCUUUAGUUGCCAGCAUUAAGUUGGGCACUCUAGAGGGACUGCCGUGGUUAACACGGAGGAAGGUGGGGAUGACGUCAAGUCCUCAUGGCCUUUAUAUCCAGGGCGACACACGUGAUACAAUGGAUGACACAAAGGGAAGCGAACCCGCGAGGGGGAGCGAAUCUCAAAAAGUCAUUCUCAGUUCGGAUUGGAGUCUGCAACUCGACUCCAUGAAGCUGGAAUCGCUAGUAAUCGUGGAUCAGAACGCCACGGUGAAUACGUUCCCGGGCCUUGUACACACCGCCCGUCACACCAUGGGAGCUGACUCAACCAGAAAACGAUCAGGCUAACCGCAAGGAGGCCUUCGUUGAAGGUGGGGUUGGUGACUGGGGUGAAGUCGUAACAAGGUAACC